ACAUACGGUUGAAAUUCCGUAGCCGCCGAAAUUGUUAAGCACAGGGACACAUAGAGAUAUCCGAACCCGGGCGUUGGUUGACCCGGGCGCAAGGGACCGAACAUUAGUAGGGAAGUCGGAGAUGCUCUGUGGCGAGAAAAGCUGUGCGUAUUGAUUAGGCGCCCGUACCGCAAACCAACACAGGUAGAUGAGGAGAGAAUCCUAAGGCCAACGGGAGAAGGGUUGUUAAGGAACUCGGCAAAUUGACCCCGUAACUUCGGGAUAAGGGGAGCCUCCUACGGGAGGCCGCAGUGAAUAGGCCCAAGCAACUGUUUACCAAAAACACAGGUCUCUGCUAAAUCGAAAGAUGACGUAUAGGGGCUGACGCCUGCCCGGUGCCGGAAGGUUAAGAGGAGAGCUUAGCGCAAGCGAAGGUUCGAAUUGAAGCCCCAGUAAACGGCGGCCGUAACGAUAACGGUCCUAAGGUAGCGAAAUUCCUUGUCAGGUAAGUUCUGACCGCACGAAUGGCGUAAUGAUUUGGGCACUGUCUCAACAGCCCGCCCGGCGAAUUUGUAGUACUGGUGAAGAUGCCAGUUACCCGCAACUAGACGGAAAGACCCCAUGGAGCUUUACUGUAGCUUAAUACUGAAGAUCGGUAAUGCAUGUACAGGAUAGGUGGGAGCCUAGGAAACCCGGGCGUCAGCUUGGGCGGAGGCAACCUUGGAAUACCACCCUUGUAUUGCUGGUUUUCUAACCUGCGGCCAUGAAUCUGGUCGGGGGACACUGUUAGGUGGGCAGUUUGACUGGGGCGGUCGCCUCCAAAAGCGUAACGGAGGCGCUCAAAGGUUGGCUCAGCACGGACGGAAAUCGUGCAUAGAGUGCAAACGCAUAAGCCAACUUGACUGCGAGACCGACGGGUCGAGCAGGUACGAAAGUAGGAGUUAGUGAUCCGGUGGUAUGUGAGUGGAAAUGCCAUCGCUCAACGGAUAAAAGCUACCCUGGGGAUAACAGGCUGAUCUCCCCCAAGCGUCCACAGCGACGGGGAGGUUUUGGCAUCUCGAUGUCGGCUCGUCACAUCCUGGGGCUGGAUUCGGUCCCAAGGGUUCGGCUGUUCGCCGAUUAAAGUGGCACGCGAGCUGGGUUCAGAACGUCGUGAGACAGUUCGGUCCCUAUCUGUUGCGGGCGCAGGAGAUCUGAAGGGAGCUGUCCUUAGUACGAGAGGACCGGGAUGGACAGACCUCUGGUGCACCAGUUGUCGUGCCAACGGCACAGCUGGGUAGCUACGUCUGGACGAGAUAAACGCUGAAAGCAUCUAAGUGUGAAACUCCCCCUAAGAUAAGAUCUCCCAUCCUUUAUGGAGUAAGGGACGACAAAGACUAUGUCGUUGAUAGGUCGGAAGUGUAAGUGCAGUAAUGCAUUAAGCUGACCGAUACUAAUAACCC
This 1421-nucleotide ribosomal RNA is filed under the name metagenome. RNAcentral's name for it is "bacterial LSU rRNA". It matches the Rfam family "Bacterial large subunit ribosomal RNA", at positions 1422 to 2910 of the family's 2925-position model. The record is from RNAcentral.